UGGGGAAUUUUGGACAAUGGGGGAAACCCUGAUCCAGCCAUCCCGCGUGUGCGAUGAAGGCCUUCGGGUUGUAAAGCACUUUUGGCAGGAAAGAAACGUCGCGGGUUAAUACCCCGCGAAACUGACGGUACCUGCAGAAUAAGCACCGGCUAACUACGUGCCAGCAGCCGCGGUAAUACGUAGGGUGCAAGCGUUAAUCGGAAUUACUGGGCGUAAAGCGUGCGCAGGCGGUUCGGAAAGAAAGAUGUGAAAUCCCAGAGCUUAACUUUGGAACUGCAUUUUUAACUACCGGGCUAGAGUGUGUCAGAGGGAGGUGGAAUUCCGCGUGUAGCAGUGAAAUGCGUAGAUAUGCGGAGGAACACCGAUGGCGAAGGCAGCCUCCUGGGAUAACACUGACGCUCAUGCACGAAAGCGUGGGGAGCAAAACAGGAUUAGAUACCCUGGUAGUCCACGCCCUAAACGAUGUCAACUAGCUGUUGGGGGCCUUUCGGGCCUUGGUAGCGCAGCUAACGCGUGAAGUUGACCGCCUGGGGAGUACGGUCGCAAGAUUAAAAACUUAAAGGAA
RNAcentral lists this ribosomal RNA (565 nucleotides) under uncultured bacterium. RNAcentral's name for it is "partial 16S ribosomal RNA". It matches the Rfam family "Bacterial small subunit ribosomal RNA", at positions 355 to 909 of the family's 1533-position model. The record is from RNAcentral.